GGAGGAGUGGCAGAGUGGUCGAUUGCGGCGGUCUUGAAAACCGUUGAGCCGCGAGGCUCCGGGGGUUCGAAUCCCUCCUCCUCCGCCA
This 88-nucleotide transfer RNA is filed under the name Alphaproteobacteria bacterium. Its description in RNAcentral is "tRNA-Ser". It matches the Rfam family "tRNA". From Rfam's summary of the family: Transfer RNA (tRNA) molecules are approximately 80 nucleotides in length. Their secondary structure includes four short double-helical elements and three loops (D, anti-codon, and T loops). Lineage: Bacteria; Pseudomonadati; Pseudomonadota; Alphaproteobacteria. The record is from RNAcentral. RNAcentral also lists the same sequence under 1 other name.